This 5173-nucleotide long non-coding RNA is filed under the name Brassica rapa (field mustard). Its description in RNAcentral is "long non-coding RNA (BRAP_LNC007881)". The record is from RNAcentral. Lineage: Eukaryota; Viridiplantae; Streptophyta; Magnoliopsida; Brassicales; Brassicaceae.
AACAACAGCAGCCACACAACAAAACUCUAUUGAAAGCCUCUCCCUCCCACUUCUUUCCUUUAGGGUUUUCUCAAUAACGUAGACAAGAUGUUCAGAAGAGGACCUUCGAGUAAGAGCGACAACACCAAGUUCUACGAGAUCCUCGGCGUCCCCAAGACCGCAUCACCCGAAGAUCUCAAAAAGGCUUACAAGAAAGCCGCCAUCAAAAACCAUCCCGACAAGGGUGGAGAUCCCGAGAAGGUAUGAAUCCUUCGAUCCCCUUCUGUGUAAUUCAAUAAAGUUAGCUCUUUUAUAGUUUGGUUUGGAUUCUCCGACCGGUAGAUGUCGUGUAAGAGCGUGGAUUCUUCGUAAGAUGUCCGAUUCGAUCUGAAAGGUGCGAGCUUUAGGUCAAUUGGUUGACUUUUGUUUCAUGUCUCUUUUUAGUUCAAAGAGCUAGCUCAGGCUUAUGAAGUUUUAAGUGAUCCGGAGAAGCGUGAGAUCUACGAUCAGUAUGGAGAGGAUGCACUCAAGGAGGGAAUGGGUGGUGGAGGCGGUGGGCAUGACCCCUUUGAUAUCUUCUCGUCCUUCUUUGGUGGUGGUGGUGGUAGCCCAUUUGGAGGUUAGUCUCUCUAAAAGAGUCGUUGGAUUCUCCCAUUUAACAAUAUGUUUCGCGUUUAAAAUGGAUGAUAAAAGUUGGAUGUUGUUUUUGAUUAGGUGGCAGCAGCCGUGGAAGGAGGCAGAGGCGUGGUGAAGACGUUGUUCACCCUCUGAAGGUUUCACUAGAGGAUCUUUAUCUCGGAACAACUAAGAAGCUCUCACUUUCUAGGAAUGCUUUGUGUUCCAAGUGUAACGGGUUAGUUAGUUAGUUAGUUCUACUUUCUAAGAUAUGCUUUAAAAGAGUUUGCUUUAAAAGAGUUUUGGACUGAGAUUAGUUGCUUUGUGAUGGCAGAAAGGGUUCAAAGUCUGGAGCUUCAUCGACAUGUAGUGGAUGUCAAGGAUCUGGAAUGAAGGUUUCAAUCAGGCAGCUUGGACCGGGAAUGAUUCAGCAGAUGCAGCACCCUUGUCAUGAUUGCAAAGGUACAGGAGAGACCAUCAAUGACCGUGACAGGUGUCCACAAUGCAAAGGGGAUAAGGUUGUCUCUGAGAAGAAGGUGCUUGAAGUAGCUGUUGAAAAGGGAAUGCAGCAUAGUCAGAAGAUCACAUUCAGUGGACAAGCAGAUGAAGCGGUUUGUGCUACUCACUUUGUCCUUACGUUUGGUCGUUAUAUUAUUCGUUUUUUUUACUUUGUGCUCUUUUGAAAACAGCCGGAUACAGUCACUGGAGAUAUAGUGUUCGUCAUUCAACAGAAAGAGCACCCAAAGUUCAAGAGAAAGGGAGAUGAUCUCUUUGUGGAGCACACCCUCUCUCUUACAGAAGCUCUCUGUGGGUUCCAGUUUGUCUUGACCCAUUUGGACAAAAGACAGCUUCUCAUCAAAUCCAGUCCGGGAGAGGUUGUGAAGCCAGGUACAUACUUCAAUCAUGAUCAUCCCUCUCUCAUUGUUACUAUAUCCACGAGCUUCUCUCUUUCUUACAGUGGUAUGUGUUUGGUUGAUGAUAGAUUCAUACAGGGCGAUAACCGAUGAGGGAAUGCCUAUGCACCAAAGGCCGUUCAUGAAGGGCAAGCUUUACAUCCACUUCACGGUCGACUUCCCUGACUCGUUGAGCCCUGACCAGACAAAGGCCAUUGAAGCGGUUUUGCCGAAGCCAAAGGCGGAUCUGAGCGACAUGGAAAUAGACGAAUGCGAGGAGACGACGCUGCACGAAGUGAACAUUGAGGAUGAGAUGAGAAGGAAGGCUCAAGCUCAAAGAGAGGCUUAUGAUGAUGACGAUGAUGAUGAAGAAGGCCCAGGUGGUGCUCAGCGUGUGCAAUGUGCCCAGCAGUGAUAUCAAACAUGCGCACUUGUAGUGAUAUUCAGCACUUGCGUUUUCUUAAACUUAUAUGUAUUAUUUUUGGGUCUUUGCUAUAAGACUUUUGCCCGAUUCUGUUGGAAGAAACUUGUCCUAAUUCAAUUUCUUGUCACAAUGUUGGUAACCCAUUCAGCAAACGCAAACGUAAAACUUGCAAACGGCACACGCUAGCACGAAGAACACAAUCAAGAUUUUGAGAAAACAAUGGUCUGGUAGAAUAAAGAAUGAGCAAUCAAAAUCGAAUAGUGUUGCUGAGUUUGUCGUGGUAAACCAUUGGCGCCACUGUUGCAAUAUAUAUACAUUUCACAAAAGUUAAUUGAAUUAUGUUCUAAAUUUCUAUAUAUACUAGAUGACUAGGUGUUUUGCCCGCACAUGUGGAUCUAAUUUUUUUUGUGAACAUUUAUUAGUUUAUGUUUUAUUAAUUCAAAACCCAAAGUGAUAAUUUUUUAUUUAUAUUUUUUAAAAAAUUAAAUAAAACAUCAAAUUAUUUAUAUAUAACAAAUAUUUUUAUUUAUACAAAUGCUAUUUUAUUAAUAUUUAAUUAUAAAUAAUUUCAUAUCUUAAUUUUCAAUUUUUAUAAUAGAAAAAUAUUAUUUUAAAAUAAUAAUAUAAUAUAUAAGAUAACAACACAAUAUAAUAAAAAUUAUCUUAUUAUAAUAUAUACAGAAAUUAUCUUUUUAUAUGAUAAUUUUUUAUUUAUAUUUUUUAAAAAAUUAAAUAAAACAUCAAAUCUAUACUAUUAUUUGCGGAAUAAAUUUUUGAAAUCGAGCUCUCAUGUUAAAAGUUAGAGUGAUUAAUAUCGUUUAUACUCUUAAUGAAUAAAAUGUAUAAAUAAAUUAAAAAUAAACACAAAAUUUUAAUUGAUUUGAUUAGAUAAUUGAUUAAUAUUACUAAUAGUAAGAAUUAUCCAAAAUCUAAAAAUAUAAUUUAAAAAAGAGAUAAUUUUUGUAUAUAUUGUAUUGUUAUCUGAAAAAGUCUUUUAGUAAAAAGCUAAAAACAUAAAUUAAAUAACUAAAUAUUAAUUAAAUAAAAUUCUUAAUUAUAUAAUUAAAAAUAGAAUAUUGAAAUCCAAAAUCUAAAAAAAUAAUUAAAAAAUAAUUUAUAUAUAUAUAUUGUAUUUUUAUCUAAAAAAAUAUUUUAGUAAAACGUUAAAAACAUAAAUUAUAUAGUUAAAUAUUAAUCAAAUAAUUUUUUUAAUUAUAUAAUUAAAAAUAUAAUAUUGAGUUAUUUUAAGAUUUAUUUUAGUAAUGAAUAUAGUGUACAAAGAACUUUUCAAAAAUUUAUGAAAAUGUUUAAGUCCGCGUCGCGGGCAAAACACUUAGUUAUUUAUAUAUGACAAAUAUUUUUAUUUAUAUAAAUGCUUUUUUUAUUAAUAUUUAAUUAUAAAUAAUUUCAUAUCUAAAUUUUCAAUUUUUAUAAUAGAAAAAUAUUAUUUCAAGAUAACAAUACAAUAUAUAAGAUAACAACACAAUAUAAUAAGAAUUAUCUUAUUAUAAUAUAUACAGAAAUUUUCUUUUUAUAUGAUAAUUUCUUAUUUAUAUUUUUCAAAAAUUAAAUAAAACAUCAAAUUAUUUAUAUAUGACAAAUUUUUUAUUUAUACAAAUUCUUUUUUAUUAAUAUUUAAUUAUAAAUAAUUUUAUUUCUUAAUUGUCAAUUUUUAUAAUAGAAAAAUAUUAUUUCAAUAUAACAAUACAAUAUAUAAGAUAACAACACAAUAUAAUAAGAAUUAUCUUAUUAUAAUAUAUACAGAAAUUAUCGUUUUAUUUUUAAAUGUAUUUUUAGAUUUUGGAUAAUUCUUAGUUUUAAUCACUUAUAUUAUUAAAAAAUCAAAUUUGUUUUUAUUUUUUAUUAAUUUAUAUAUUUAAUUUAUUAAGGGUAUAAUUGAUAUUAACCACUCUAACUUUUAACGUGAGAGCUCCGUUGCAAAAAUUUACUUCGUAAAUAAUAGUAUAGAUAACUGGGCACUUGUUUAGAGUGAGACUUUAUACCAAUAUUUGUUCAUUAAAUGGUUUUAACAUUUUGCAACACUGCAAUUUUUAUUGACUAUAAAAUGACUAAUACAAAUGUUAGUUUCUUAAAUGUAUUAUUGUUGUUAAAGAGUAUAUUUUAAUUAUUUUUAAAAUUUAUUAUAUGCACAAAAAAAAUUAAGUUUUGCGGUUAACACAUAUCACCAAACCCAAUCGAUUGUAAAAUCAUGAAAGAGGAUUAGGUUUGCCGCUCUUGAUUUGCUUAAAGAUUAAAACGACGAAUGAUUAAAUACUUAAGAAUCAUAAAUGUGAUGUAUAAUUAAUUAUGAGAACCAAGAUGCAAAUAAAAAAUGAAACUUUAAAUUUAGAGUUUUGAGUAGAUUUGAAGUUUUAUUUCUUAGAACUUUGAAUUUGAAGUUUUGAAGUUUAUUUUAGAAUAGCAAAAAAUUCUAUAUUUGAAGUUAUAGAGUUUUUUUUUUGAGAUGCUCUAAGCAAAAAAAAAAACUAUAUAUUUUUUCUUCUUAAACAAAAGGGUGUUUCUAAUUUUCCAUAAAUGCCCAUAAGUAAGUAAGUAACCAUGCAAAGUUGAUAAAUGUCUAACUUAUAUUUUAAAAUAUAUAACAUUAGUGUAAAUUAAUCAUAGUUGGAUCUAUAUAUCUAAUAACAUGAUAUUCAUCUUAAUAUUUCCUAUCUCAUAUAUUAAUAGAAUACAUGAACUUGUUGAUGUAAUUUUCAAAUUCAUUUAUUUUCUUUAGAUUAGUGUAGAUUAAUCGUAUUUGGAUUUAUAUUUAAUAAAAUAAAACCUAACUUAACAUUUCAUAUCAAAUUUAUUAAUAGAGUACAUGAACUUGUUGAUGCAGUUUUCAAAUUCAUAUAUUUUCCUAUGAUUAUUUAGCUAAUUUUUAAAAAUAAAUUUCUCCUUUUCCUACUAGAGAAGAAUGAAUAAAAAAACAAAACAAAGUCUUUAAAUAAAAGGAAAGAUAUAAAAGGUUCUAGAGUGUUCGGCUGUCCCUACAAAGACCUGAACACAAACUCUUCUUCGAACAACUCAGCCACACAAACAAAACUCCAUCAAAAGCCUCUCCUCCCACCACUUUCCUUUAGGGUUUUCUUAAACAACGUAGACAAGAUGUUCAGAAGAGGACCUCCGAGUAAGAGCGACAACACCAAGUUCUACGAGAUCCUCGGCGUCCCCAAGACCGCUUCACCUGAAGAUCUCAAAAAGGCUUACAAGAAAGCCGCCAUCAAAAACCAUCCCGACAAGGGUGGAGAUCCCGAAA